Molecule: non-coding RNA, 99 nt
Organism: Mycena crocata
Lineage: Eukaryota; Fungi; Basidiomycota; Agaricomycetes; Agaricales; Mycenaceae
Source: the annotation of a GenBank genome assembly
CGCCCAAUAGCACAACGGUUAGUGCGUCUACGCAAUUUCGGCCAUGAUUCCAUAUGAAUGUAGAAGCUUAAGGUGCCAGUUCGACUCGGGGUUGGGUGA